Melozone crissalis (California towhee) is the source of this 667-nucleotide long non-coding RNA. RefSeq lists it as uncharacterized. Lineage: Eukaryota; Metazoa; Chordata; Aves; Passeriformes; Passerellidae. The transcript is spliced from 3 exons. The record is from RefSeq and is a predicted model, not a curated record.
UAGCAGUGGUUGGGACUGGCAAGUAAUGCAUUAAAAUGAAGAAUUUUGUGUCAGGACACAGCCUAUUUUGCUUUUGAAGUGCUUCCAGAUUGUACCUAAAGCUGAGCCUAGAUCUGUGAGAGAGGAGGGUAUAACGUUACCUGCUCUACUGAAGUUGGAGGUGGGGUGCUGAGUGUUAAAGGCUUACACUGGACAUCUGCACAGGGGCUCUGGCUUCUUCACCUGGCUCUGCUGCUGUUCCAGAUGAAUGGGCCUGGAUGGUGUCGUUUGCGGGAAGCCCCCUGCGAGAGUUCCGAGCCUGCAGAGAGCCCCGGGUUCCCUCCCAUCCCUUCCCAUCCCAUCCCACCGGGCUGAACAGCCCCGGAUCCCCGCUCUGAGGAGUGCCCAUCCUCUGCGAUCGGCAUCAGAGGCACGCCGAACUCGUGCACUAAAUGGGCUCAUUAGCCGAGCUGCAGAUGGACUUAGGUAAUAGGAAUGGAGUAAUAGUGAAAAUUAGUUUGGAGGGAAACAUCAAAUCGAAAAGCUCUGACAAAACUCCGCUUUGCUCUAGUUCAGCCGAGGUACUGUCAGACACAAAUAUUCAAUUCUAUGUCGCUUCAAAUUGAGAUUUUAUUUUGUUACUCGCUAAUUUGCUUCUUGUACAGUCUUGCAAGUUUUUUUGGUCUCA